GACGAACGCUGGCGGCGUGCUUAACACAUGCAAGUCGAACGGAAAGGCCCUGCUUUUUUGGGGUGCUCGAGUGGCGAACGGGUGAGUAACACGUGAGUAACCUGCCCUCGACUUUGGGAUAACUUCAGGAAACUGGGGCUAAUACCGGAUAGGAGCUCCUGCUGCAUGGUGGGGGUUGGAAAGUUUCGGCGGCUGGUGAUGGUCUCGCGGCUUAUCAGCUUGGUGGUGGGGUAGUGGCUUACCAUGGCUGUGACGGGUAGCCGCCCUGAGAGGGUGACCGGCCACAGUGGGACUGAGGUACGGCCCAGACUGCUACGGGCGCAAGCAGUGGAAGAUAUUGCACGAUGGGCGGCAGCCGGGAGCAGGAACGCCGCGUGGGAGAGGACGGCCUUCCGGGUGUAAUGCGCUUUCGCCUGUGACGGAGCGUGAGUGACGGUAAUGGGUAAAGAAGCAACGGCUAACUACGUG
Molecule: ribosomal RNA, 468 nt
Filed under: uncultured bacterium
Lineage: Bacteria
Description: partial 16S ribosomal RNA
Rfam family: Bacterial small subunit ribosomal RNA
Source: RNAcentral